Molecule: ribosomal RNA, 676 nt
Filed under: Helvella silvicola
Lineage: Eukaryota; Fungi; Ascomycota; Pezizomycetes; Pezizales; Helvellaceae
Description: partial large subunit ribosomal RNA
Rfam family: Eukaryotic large subunit ribosomal RNA
Source: RNAcentral
AAUCUGGGGUCUGCGACCCCCGAGUUGUAAUCUCGAGAGGCCACCUCCGGGAGGGUCCCGGCACGUGUUCCUUGGAACAGGACGUCAGAGAGGGUGAGAAUCCCGUUCAUUGCCGCGCGGCUGCUCCCUCCGUGAGGCGCCUUCGACGAGUCGAGUUGUUUGGGAAUGCAGCUCCAAGUGGGUGGUAAAUUUCAUCUAAGGCUAAAUACUGGCGGGAGACCGAUAGCGCACAAGUAGAGUGAUCGAAAGAUGAAAAGCACUUUGAAAAUAGAGUUAAAAAGUACGUGAAAUUGUUGAAAGGGAAGCGCUUGAGACCAGACUCAGGGCGGGGCAAACAGCCUUGCCCCCGACCGGGCGGCGCACUUGCCCCGACCCUGGGCCAGCAUCAGUUGGUGUGGCGGGACAAAGGCGCGGGGAACGUGCCUCCCCCUCGAGGGAGGGUUAUAGCCCGGCGUCCGAUGCCGCCGACACCGACUGAGGACCGCGCUUCGGCCAGGAUGCUGGCUCAAUGGUCCCCAGCGACCCGUCUUGAAACACGGACCAAGGAGUCUAACAUCUAUGCGAGUGUUUGGGCAUCAAACCCUUACGCGCAAUGAAAGUGAGCCGAGGUGGGAACCCGCCCCGAUCGGCGGGCGCACCAUCGACCGAUCCCGAUGUGCUCGGAAGGAUUUGAGUA